Molecule: ribosomal RNA, 253 nt
Filed under: uncultured bacterium
Lineage: Bacteria
Description: partial 16S ribosomal RNA
Rfam family: Bacterial small subunit ribosomal RNA
Source: RNAcentral
CACGGGGGGAGCAAGCGUUGUUCGGAUUCAUUGGGCGUAAAGGGCUCGUAGGUGGCUUUGUAAGUCGGAGGUGAAAUCCCAUGGCUCAACCAUGGACACGUCUUCGAAACUGUGAAGCUUGAGGCUGGGAGAGGAGAUCGGAAUUCCUGGUGUAGCGGUGAAAUGCGUAGAUAUUGGGAAGAACACCGGUGGCGAAGGCGGCUCACUGGCUCGUAUCUGACGCUCAGGCGCGACAGCGUGGGGAUCAAACAGG